This 1489-nucleotide ribosomal RNA is filed under the name Lactiplantibacillus plantarum. Its description in RNAcentral is "bacterial SSU rRNA". It matches the Rfam family "Bacterial small subunit ribosomal RNA". The record is from RNAcentral. Lineage: Bacteria; Bacillati; Bacillota; Bacilli; Lactobacillales; Lactobacillaceae.
GACGAACGCUGGCGGCGUGCCUAAUACAUGCAAGUCGAACGAACUCUGGUAUUGAUUGGUGCUUGCAUCAUGAUUUACAUUUGAGUGAGUGGCGAACUGGUGAGUAACACGUGGGAAACCUGCCCAGAAGCGGGGGAUAACACCUGGAAACAGAUGCUAAUACCGCAUAACAACUUGGACCGCAUGGUCCGAGCUUGAAAGAUGGCUUCGGCUAUCACUUUUGGAUGGUCCCGCGGCGUAUUAGCUAGAUGGUGGGGUAACGGCUCACCAUGGCAAUGAUACGUAGCCGACCUGAGAGGGUAAUCGGCCACAUUGGGACUGAGACACGGCCCAAACUCCUACGGGAGGCAGCAGUAGGGAAUCUUCCACAAUGGACGAAAGUCUGAUGGAGCAACGCCGCGUGAGUGAAGAAGGGUUUCGGCUCGUAAAACUCUGUUGUUAAAGAAGAACAUAUCUGAGAGUAACUGUUCAGGUAUUGACGGUAUUUAACCAGAAAGCCACGGCUAACUACGUGCCAGCAGCCGCGGUAAUACGUAGGUGGCAAGCGUUGUCCGGAUUUAUUGGGCGUAAAGCGAGCGCAGGCGGUUUUUUAAGUCUGAUGUGAAAGCCUUCGGCUCAACCGAAGAAGUGCAUCGGAAACUGGGAAACUUGAGUGCAGAAGAGGACAGUGGAACUCCAUGUGUAGCGGUGAAAUGCGUAGAUAUAUGGAAGAACACCAGUGGCGAAGGCGGCUGUCUGGUCUGUAACUGACGCUGAGGCUCGAAAGUAUGGGUAGCAAACAGGAUUAGAUACCCUGGUAGUCCAUACCGUAAACGAUGAAUGCUAAGUGUUGGAGGGUUUCCGCCCUUCAGUGCUGCAGCUAACGCAUUAAGCAUUCCGCCUGGGGAGUACGGCCGCAAGGCUGAAACUCAAAGGAAUUGACGGGGGCCCGCACAAGCGGUGGAGCAUGUGGUUUAAUUCGAAGCUACGCGAAGAACCUUACCAGGUCUUGAUAUACUAUGCAAAUCUAAGAGAUUAGACGUUCCCUUCGGGGACAUGGAUACAGGUGGUGCAUGGUUGUCGUCAGCUCGUGUCGUGAGAUGUUGGGUUAAGUCCCGCAACGAGCGCAACCCUUAUUAUCAGUUGCCAGCAUUAAGUUGGGCACUCUGGUGAGACUGCCGGUGACAAACCGGAGGAAGGUGGGGAUGACGUCAAAUCAUCACGCCCCUUAUGACCUGGGCUACACACGUGCUACAAUGGAUGGUACAACGAGUUGCGAACUCGCGAGAGUAAGCUAAUCUCUUAAAGCCAUUCUCAGUUCGGAUUGUAGGCUGCAACUCGCCUACAUGAAGUCGGAAUCGCUAGUAAUCGCGGAUCAGCAUGCCGCGGUGAAUACGUUCCCGGGCCUUGUACACGCCGCCCGUCACACCAUGAGAGUUUGUAACACCCAAAGUCGGUGGGGUAACCUUUUAGGAACCAGCCGCCUAAGGUGGGACAGAUGAUUAGGGUG